CAGCCGCCGCGGUAACACCAGCCCCUCGAGUGGUGGGGACUAUUAUUUGGCCUAAAGCGUCCGUAGCUGGCUGUAUCCGUCUCCCGGUAAAUCCGGCGUCCUAAGCGUCGGUUCUCGGGUGAUACCAUACAGCUAGAGGGUGGGAUAGGUGAGCGGUAUUUCUGGGGUAGGGGCGAAAUCCUUUGAUCCCAGGAGGACCACCAGUGGCGAAGGCUGCUCACUAUAACACGCCUGACGGUCAGGGACGAAAGCUGGGGCAGCGAACCGGAUUAGAUACCCGGGUAGUCCCAGCUGUAAACGAUGCUAGCUAGGUGUUGGGUCGGCCACGCGCCGCCCCAGUGCCGCAGGGAAGCCGUUAAGCUAGCCGCCUGGGGAGUACGAUCGCAAGAUUGAAACUUAAAGGAAUUGGCGGGGGAGCAC
This 420-nucleotide ribosomal RNA is filed under the name uncultured crenarchaeote. RNAcentral's name for it is "bacterial SSU rRNA". It matches the Rfam family "Archaeal small subunit ribosomal RNA", at positions 459 to 879 of the family's 1478-position model. Lineage: Archaea; Thermoproteati; Thermoproteota. The record is from RNAcentral.